CCCCUCGGGCUGUGGCGUCCGCUGCCCGCCGCCGUCCUUCGGGAGGGUGAGCGGGCCGCGGGGGUGUGAGAAUGGCUUUGAGAGGUAAAACGCGUCAGCAGUAUUAAAAAAUCAGGCUGAUCGUUAAAAUGAUGGUUUAUAACUUGCGUUAUGGUCGCACGGGGGAUCAGGUCAGCGGUAGGUCCCCGGGGCGGGCGGCUGUCGCCUCAGCAACGAGGCACUACCUACAGUCUACCCUGUGGGUGCCAGUACCUGAAGACGCAGUCAGCGCAACACCUGGAAAAGAUCCCUUCCUGUCGUUCUGCUGCACAAGUAGAAGAGCUUAGUGCACAAUAAUCCUGUGUGGGUACCGCUGGAGGGGGAGGGCAGAAGAGGGACUCCUGAAGCCACUGAAGGAAGGAAAUCAUUACAGGGUUCUACAGAAGUAGGUCAUGUGCUACAGCUGCUCAUAGUUUAAGAGGAAGAAACAUGGGACCUCAAACAUGGAACAUGACUCCUUCAAAAUGCUUGAGAGCAACCCAAGAAAAACAUCCUCAGAGGCUUAUUUAAUAAACAUUAUCUAUAAUAGUCUCAAUGUGUGCUCAUGUUUCCUUAGGAGUUUGCACCUACUUCCCAGAGCUAACAAGAUUCCAAAAUAGAGCGCAGAAUAAUUUAAUGAAAAGGAUUUAAUAGUUUGUGUUAAAGCUAAUAUGGUCCAUUAGGAGCUGUCAUUUUAUAAACAAUGAAGAUAUGUUACCCUCUCUAUUGCCGUAAAGCCAUUCCAAGCAGGGUUUGUAAACAGUCAGUAAUGAUCUAUAGAACAUGCACAAAAGACAAUUAGAGCCACAUUUGAAAAAUGUGCUUUCCCUCCCAUUUGAUUUCUUUUUAAGUAAA
Long non-coding RNA from Aquila chrysaetos chrysaetos, 873 nucleotides. RefSeq lists it as uncharacterized. NCBI's taxonomy places the organism in Eukaryota, Metazoa, Chordata, Aves, Accipitriformes, Accipitridae. The record is from RefSeq and is a predicted model, not a curated record. The transcript has 3 exons.